Molecule: non-coding RNA, 30 nt
Filed under: Rattus norvegicus (Norway rat)
Lineage: Eukaryota; Metazoa; Chordata; Mammalia; Rodentia; Muridae
Source: RNAcentral
UUUGAAGUUACAUGUAGGACUGCUAAAUGG